UACGUAGGGUGCGAGCGUUAAUCGGAAUUACUGGGCGUAAAGCGUGCGCAGGCGGUUCGUUAUGUCCGUUGUGAAAGCCCCGGGCUCAACCUGGGAAUGGCAAUGGAAACUGGCGAGCUAGAGUGUGGCAGAGGGGGGUGGAAUUCCGCGUGUAGCAGUGAAGUGCGUAGAGAUGCGGAGGAACACCGAUGGCGAAGGCAGCCCCCUGGGCUAGCACUGACGCUCAGGCACGAAAGCGUGGGGAGCAAACAGG
RNAcentral lists this ribosomal RNA (253 nucleotides) under uncultured bacterium. Its description in RNAcentral is "partial 16S ribosomal RNA". It matches the Rfam family "Bacterial small subunit ribosomal RNA", at positions 524 to 776 of the family's 1533-position model. The record is from RNAcentral.